This 1276-nucleotide long non-coding RNA is filed under the name Citrus x clementina. RNAcentral describes it as "Citrus clementina (C. clementina) long non-coding RNA (CCLE_LNC003149)". The record is from RNAcentral. Lineage: Eukaryota; Viridiplantae; Streptophyta; Magnoliopsida; Sapindales; Rutaceae.
CGCCAAGUUCGUCCAGCGGAAAAAGGCCACAAAAACGGGUGGGCUAUAGCCUUGGGGGGUGGGGCUGGCCAACUUCGUCCGCCGGACUCGGAAUGCCGCGUGACUUUGCAAGGGGCCUCCGUGUGCCAAAAAUAGGCCGCGGGCAAAGCCGCGCCCAAAAUUAACCGCCCGAAGGCCGGGGCGCCAAGUUCGUCCAGCGGAAAAAGGCCACAAAAACGGGUGGGCUAUAGCCUUGGGGGGUGGGGCUGGCCCACUUCGUCCGCCGGACUCGGAAUGCCGCGGGACUUUGCGAGGGGCCUCCGUGUGCCAAAAAUAGGCCGCGGGCAAAGCCGCGCCCAAAAUUAACCGGCCGAAGGCCGGGGCGCCAAGUUCGUCCAGCGGAAAAAGGCCACAAAAACGGGUGGGCUAUAGCCUUGGGGGGUGGGGCUGGCCGACUUCGUCCGCCGGACUCGGAAUGCCGCGAGACUUUGCGAGGGGCCUCCGUGUGCCAAAAAUAGGCCGCGGGCAAAGCCGCGCCCAAAAAUAACUGCCCGAAGGCCGGGGCGCCAAGUUCGUCCAGCGGAAAAAGGCCACAAAAACGGGUGGGCUAUAGCCUUGGGGGGUGGGGCUGGCCAACUUCGUCCGCCGGACUCGGAAUGCCGCGAGACUUUGCGAGGGGCCUCCGUGUGCCAAAAAUAGGCCGCGGGCAAAGCCGCGCCCUAAAAAUACCGCCCGAAGGCCGGGGCGCCAAGUUCGUCCAGCGGAAAAAGGCCACAAAAACGGGUGGGCUAUAGCCUUGGGGGGUGGGGCUGGCCAACUUCGUCCGCCGGACUCGGAAUCCCGCGAGACUUUGCGAGGGGCCUCCGUGUGCCAAAACUAGGCUACGGGCAAAGCCCUGCCCAAAAAUACCAGCCCGCUGGCCGGGGCUCCAAGUUCGUCCAGCAGAAAAAGGCCACAAAAACGGGUGGGCUAUAGCCUUGGGGGGUGGGGCUCGCCAACUUCGUCAGCCGGACUCGAAAUGCCGCGAGACUUUGCGAGGGGCCUCCAUGUGCCAAUAAUAGGCCGCGGGCAAAGCCGCGCGAAAAAAUAACCACCCGAAGGCCGGGGCACCAAGUUCGUCCAGCGGAAAAAGGCCACAAAAACGGGUGGGCUAUAUCCUUGGGGGGUGGGGCUGGCCAACUUCGUCAGCCGGACUCGGAAUGCCGCGAGACUUUGCGAGGGGCCUCCGUGUGCCAAAAAUAGUCCUCGGACAAAGCUGCGCCCAAAACUAACAGCCCGAAGGCCGGGGCGCCAAGUU